GGCAGACGGGUGAGUAACGCGUGGGAACCUGCCCUGUGGUAGGGAAUAACCGCGGGAAACUGCGGCUAAUACCCUAUGAGUCCUUCGGGAGAAAGAUUUAUCGCCAUAGGAGGGGCCCGCGUCGGAUUAGGUAGUUGGUGGGGUAACGGCUACCAAGCCUUCGAUCCGUAGCUGGUCUGAGAGGAUGAUCAGCCACACUGGGACUGAGAUACGGCCCAGACUCCUACGGGAGGCAGCAGUGGGGAAUAUUGGACAAUGGGGGCAACCCUGAUCCAGCAAUGCCGCGUGGGUGAUGAAGGCCUUCGGGUUGUAAAGCCCUUUCGGCGGGGAAGAUGAUGACGGUACCCGCAGAAGAAGCCCCGGCUAACUUCGUGCCAGCCGCCGCGG
Molecule: ribosomal RNA, 387 nt
Filed under: uncultured bacterium
Lineage: Bacteria
Description: bacterial SSU rRNA
Rfam family: Bacterial small subunit ribosomal RNA
Source: RNAcentral